CCUACGGGUGGCAGCAGUGGGGAAUAUUGCACAAUGGGGGAAACCCUGAUGCAGCAACGCCGCGUGAGUGAAGAAGGUUUUCGGAUCGUAAAGCUCUAUCAGCAGUGACGAAAAUGACGGUAGCAUCUGAAGAAGCCCCGGCUAACUACGUGCCAGCAGCCGCGGUGAUACGAAGGGGGCAAGCGUUGUUCGGAAUUACUGGGUGUAAAGGGAGCGUAGGCGGCUGCGUAAGACAGUGGUGAAAGCCCAGGGCUUAACCUUGGAAUUGCCAUUAUAACUAUGAAGCUAGAAUGCAAGAGAGGAAAGUGGAAUACCCAGUGUAGCGGUGAAAUUCGUAGAUAUUAGGUAGAACACCAGUGGCGAAGGCGACUAUCUGGACUGAAACUGACGCUGAGGCUCGAAAGCGUGGGGAGCAAACAGGAUUAGAUACCCCAGUAGUC
RNAcentral lists this ribosomal RNA (440 nucleotides) under uncultured bacterium. RNAcentral's name for it is "partial 16S ribosomal RNA". It matches the Rfam family "Bacterial small subunit ribosomal RNA", at positions 338 to 795 of the family's 1533-position model. The record is from RNAcentral.